UGCCAGCCGCCGCGGUAAUACGAAGGGGGCUAGCGUUGUUCGGAAUUACUGGGCGUAAAGCGCACGUAGGCGGAUCGUUAAGUGAGGGGUGAAAUCCCAGGGCUCAACCCUGGAACUGCCUUUCAUACUGGCGAUCUUGAGUUCGAGAGAGGUGAGUGGAAUUCCUGGUGUAGAGGUGAAAUUCGUAGAUAUCAGGAGGAACACCGAUGGCGAAGGCAGCUCUCUGGACAGAUACUGACGCUGAGACGCGAAAGCGUGGGGAGCAAACAGGAUUCGAUA
Molecule: ribosomal RNA, 279 nt
Filed under: uncultured bacterium
Lineage: Bacteria
Description: partial 16S ribosomal RNA
Rfam family: Bacterial small subunit ribosomal RNA
Source: RNAcentral